This is a long non-coding RNA of Phyllostomus discolor (pale spear-nosed bat), 603 nucleotides long. RefSeq lists it as uncharacterized. Lineage: Eukaryota; Metazoa; Chordata; Mammalia; Chiroptera; Phyllostomidae. The record is from RefSeq and is a predicted model, not a curated record. The transcript has 4 exons.
UACCCUGAAAACAACCUCAAACAGAUUUCCCGGCCGUUUCCCAGAGUUAAAAAAGAUUGUGUAUUGUAUCUUAAGUUUGCAAAUUCUUCUGAUUUUCUCACAUUAUAUUCCUGUUUUUGUCUCAUUUAUUUUUAAUCCUCUUCUAAAUGUCUGAGCUUCUCUUCUUCACUCAUCUUAAUAUUUUAACCUGUUCUUAAUAUCGCCAUAAUUAAAAAAAAAUAGUAUUCUAUGCUGCUGCAGUAUAAGAAUAAAAAAUGUUUCCUGUGAUGAACGAAUAAUCUGAAAAGAAGCUGGGAAGUGCUGACUUUUCAGACACAGAAGAUAUCUUCAUCACGGAAGCGUUUGAAGGGCUCCAGCCUGGAUAGUCAGUGAGUAACCUGUAUUAAAAGAUCCAACGUUUUAUUUUACCUUAAGUUGAGCCAUGAAAUAGAACGCGUGAUGACAAGAGAUCAGUGAAACGACUUUUUGUUUUCCGAACGGGAAUGGAUUUUUUCAGUGUGUGCCAUUUAACAGUAUGUGCAAAUAUCUAGAAACCCAGGCAUUAGUAAUAAACACAUGGGUGUGCGGGCUGUAAACGUACUUGGUUCCCGCUUAUGUACAUUU